Molecule: long non-coding RNA, 420 nt
Organism: Eubalaena glacialis (North Atlantic right whale)
Lineage: Eukaryota; Metazoa; Chordata; Mammalia; Artiodactyla; Balaenidae
Exons: 3
Source: RefSeq, a predicted model, not a curated record
UUUUAAUAUGCCUCAGUUUGUCUUUUAACAGUUCUGGUGUCAGAAGAGGGAACAAAGGAAGGAGACCCCGAGCAGCCAGAGUUUCUCGUGACCAGGAUGACACCUGCUGGGACACCCCACUUGCUUUAGAGCCUGCUGAUGGGAUCCUGGGAAAGCUGGCAGAAGCCCAUAAAGGGAGACAUGGGUUCGAUCCCUGGUCCAGGAAGAUCCCACAUGCCGCGGAGCAGCUAAGCCCGUGUGCCACAACUACUGAGCCUGCGCUCUAGAGCCCUCGAGCCACAACUACUGAGCCCAUGUGCCUAGAGCCCGUGCUCCGCAACAAGAGAAGCCACCACAAUGAGAAGCCCGCGCACCGCAAUGAAGAGUAGUCCCUGCUCGCCGCAACUAGAGAAAGCCCGCAUGUAGCAACGAAGACCCAAU